GGAGGAGUCAGGAGAAGAAAUGGAGCAAGAGCCAUACCCUCCCCACACCCAAACUAAACAUGGAUCCAUCCUGAUCCAGCUUUCCCACUUCUGGGGAUAUAUCCAGAGGAGAUGAAAUCAGCUUACUAAACACAUACCUGCAUGCCCGUGUUUAUUGUGGCAAAUAUUCACAAUAGCCAGGAUAUGGACCAGCCUAGGUGCCCACGAACAGAUGGAUGGAUGAAGGCAUGGGGGCACAUGCCUAUCAUCCUAGAGGCUGAGGCAGGAGGAUCAUUGCAAGUUCAAAGCCAGCCUCAGCAACUUAAUGAGGACCUAAUUAACUCAGUGAGACCUUGUCUCUAAAUAAAAAAUAAAAAGGUCUGGGGAUGUGGCUCAGUGGUUAAACUCUCAUGAGUUCAAUUCUUGGUACCUCCUUCCCCCUGGGGGGAAAAAAAAAGAAAAUAUGAUACACACACACACACACACACACACACAAUACAAUAUUAUUCAGCCAAAGGGAAGAAUGAAAUCUUGUCAUUUUUAGCCAAAUAUAUAGAGAUUGGGAAGGGUAGGGGUGGAAGGCAUAAAAGGGAGGCUGGAUUUGAUUGGUGCAUCUGGAUACAUGUAUGGAAAUAGACACUGAACACCAUUAACGUGUACAAGUAAUAUGUGUUAAUUUUUUAAAAAAUACUGAAAUUCAGACAGGCUGGGUCUUUAGUUCCAUCACUGACUGCCUUUUCCCGGCCAGGUGACUGUGCAAGUCAUCUGGUCCUCUCUGUUAUUAUCUUUAAAGGGGGCAUAAUAAUUGAUGUGAUUAGUUAUCACACCGGAUCAGGGUGAAGAGUAAAUGGCCUAAUGAAAUGAGAGCUGGUGGGCAGUUACGAAGCUCUGUCUACUGAUGUGCUAAUUAGUGGACACCUUGGUCACUCACUGUGGGAGCUCAGGCCAGCCUCUUCGCCUCUCUGAAACUGGUUCCUCAUCAAUAAAGUGGAAUGAAAAUAAAAGUACCCACAUUGUUGGGCUGCUGGAAGGAGACUACAUGGAAGGCACUCAACGUGGAGAAAGUGCUCUGAGGAUAAAAGCCACAGGUCGAGGUGGGGUCCUCGUGCAGGGAAGGACUCGUGCCAGAAGAGGCUGGUUUCUUCCUCUUUAGCAAAAAAUGUCUUGGCUACCUCCAAGUCUGUGUGAGGAUGGGCCAGAAGAAGAGCCACCCUGCGCAGUCCAGCACCCGCUUGGAGCUGGGGAACGUGAGUGAGGCGGGAAGAACAUGUUUCCAGAUUUAGGAGGUAAAGGGAACCCUGUACUCCUGGGACCAGCUGCACCUGACAGAUGGCUGGUAGUGAGCAGAAUGAGCUGAGGGUGACAGCUUUCAUUCUUUGGGCUCAAGCCUACUGGGUUGCCUGUGUUCUGCAACCUGACAUCACCCUGCGGAACUCUCUGUACUGCAAGGGCUCCAUGUCAGGGUCUAAGGCCAGACAUCUUCUGUCUUCAGACUCUGCCCUGAGCCUCAGGGACAGCUUGCCUCA
RNAcentral lists this long non-coding RNA (1505 nucleotides) under Marmota monax (woodchuck). Lineage: Eukaryota; Metazoa; Chordata; Mammalia; Rodentia; Sciuridae. The record is from RNAcentral.